This 253-nucleotide ribosomal RNA is filed under the name uncultured bacterium. Its description in RNAcentral is "partial 16S ribosomal RNA". It matches the Rfam family "Bacterial small subunit ribosomal RNA", at positions 524 to 776 of the family's 1533-position model. The record is from RNAcentral.
UACGGAGGGGGCUAGCGUUGUUCGGAAUUACUGGGCGUAAAGCGCACGUAGGCGGCUUUGUAAGUUAGAGGUGAAAGCCCGGAGCUCAACUCCGGAAUUGCCUUUAAGACUGCAUCGCUAGAAUCAUGGAGAGGUGAGUGGAAUUCCGAGUGUAGAGGUGAAAUUCGUAGAUAUUCGGAAGAACACCAGUGGCGAAGGCGACUCACUGGACAUGUAUUGACGCUGAGGUGCGAAAGCGUGGGGAGCAAACAGG